GACGAACGCUGGCGGCGUGCUUAACACAUGCAAGUCGAACGGUGAAGCUCCAGCUUGCUGGAGUGGAUCAGUGGCGAACGGGUGAGUAACACGUGAGCAACCUGCCCCUGACUCUGGAAUAAGCGCUGGAAACGGCGUCUAAUACUGGAUACGAGAAGGGUCCGCAUGGGCACUUUCUGGAAAGUUUUUCGGUUGGGGAUGGGCUCGCGGCCUAUCAGCUUGUUGGUGAGGUAAUGGCUCACCAAGGCGACGACGGGUAGCCGGCCUGAGAGGGCGACCGGCCACACUGGGACUGAGACACGGCCCAGACUCCUACGGGAGGCAGCAGUAGGGAAUAUUGCACAAUGGGCGAAAGCCUGAUGCAGCGACGCCGCGUGAGGGAUGACGGCCUUCGGGUUGUAAACCUCUUUCAGCAGGGAAGAAGCGAAAGUGACGGUACCUGCAGAAGAAGCACCGGCUAACUACGUG
Molecule: ribosomal RNA, 468 nt
Filed under: uncultured bacterium
Lineage: Bacteria
Description: partial 16S ribosomal RNA
Rfam family: Bacterial small subunit ribosomal RNA
Source: RNAcentral